UAAGGAAUAUUGGUCAAUGGACGAAAGUCUGAACCAGCCAUGCCGCGUGGAGGAUGAAGGUCCUCUGGAUUGUAAACUUCUUUUAUAUGGGACGAAAAAGGGCCUUUCCAGGCCAACUGACGGUACCAUAUGAAUAAGCACCGGCUAACUCCGUG
Molecule: ribosomal RNA, 155 nt
Filed under: uncultured Persicobacter sp.
Lineage: Bacteria; Pseudomonadati; Bacteroidota; Cytophagia; Cytophagales; Persicobacteraceae
Description: partial 16S ribosomal RNA
Rfam family: Bacterial small subunit ribosomal RNA
Source: RNAcentral